Long non-coding RNA from Oenanthe melanoleuca, 1045 nucleotides. RefSeq lists it as uncharacterized. The record is from RefSeq and is a predicted model, not a curated record. The transcript is spliced from 4 exons. NCBI's taxonomy places the organism in Eukaryota, Metazoa, Chordata, Aves, Passeriformes, Muscicapidae.
UUAAGGCAUUGACCACAGGAUGCAUCAUUGUUCCAACUUGAAAAACAAGGCAAAGGAGGGAGGAAGGUCACUACUCAUCCCUUUGUUACUGAGCUUUGCAUACUGAAACAGCUUUUACAGAUGAAGACUCUAAAGAAGCUCUGGCUAAACCAGAAAACCAGCUACAAGAGAUCUUGAAGGGACCUAUAUGAUCCAGUGACUCUAAAAUUUAGAUGUACAAAGAACUUGAAUGCCUAGCUCUUUGUGGCUGUUUGGAAAAUUCAAGGAAAAGGUGCAGUGUCCAUUUCUUGGUGUUUCUGUGAAUUGCACAUGCAUGGUUCCUUACCUGAUUGGAUGAUCUGGGAAAUGCGGACAUACACACACAGCACAGUGGAAUGUUCAUCAAUAAAACAGCCUUAAAAGCUGAGCAUGGAAGUGGUCCCUUGUCCUCAGCUAACAUCUUAAUGCUAUUGACCAUUCAUGCAAGUCUUCCAGUGAAAACACCCUGUUUCUUGAAGGGAAAAUGAAUAUGAAAAAGAUUGCUGGCCUUACAUGAACAGCUACUCUCCAUCGUGCUCCAACUGAAUUAAAACCACCAAUUACACCUCUAGUUGUGUGGCAACACCUACACUGUGUUUCCAAUUAACUUUGUAAGUUUUUAAUCAGUGACAAAUGCAUUUUUGUAAAUUCAAUUUGCCUUUUAUUGCAGCACCUAUAAAAUGUCUUGCAGCAUUCCGGAACUUUGUGAAGGUUUUACUUGCUACUGACAUAACGCAGCUGUCGGACCUACAACAAAGGCUGAGGUUUAUGGGCAACUUGAAUUAGGAUGUAGGUUAAGCAAUUAAAGUUCAAGGAGGGGGAGGGGGAAAUGGUUUCCCAAAAUUUGCACUUGCCAAUUUAGAAAAACACACCAAAAACUUGCUGUACACAAGGAUGGGAGAAGCCAAAGCAGCUAAGGAGACCAUACUCAGCUUUAGAAUUGCUAUUUUGAGAGUAUUCCAUAUGUGAAAAGGUCACCCAGAUUUCAUUAAUAAAUCCGCUCUGCUGUUUGUUUUCUUUUUUAAUC